CGAAAUGCGAUAAGUAGUGUAAAUUAUAGAAUUUAGUAAAUUAUUAAAUCUUUGAACGUAUAUUACGCCCCUUGGUAUUCUAUGGGGUAUGCCUGUUCAAGCAUUAUCUAUACCCUUAAGCUCUGCUUGGUGUUGGGCGUCUGUCCCGCCUUCGCGCAUAAACUCGCCCUAAAUGUAUUGGUAGUGGUCUUUACCCCCUCCCGCGCAGCAUAUUGCGCUUCUUAAGGCUGUGGUGGCCUGUGUCUAACAAGCUAAACCCCCCCGUCUUUAACCUUGGAUUAGGUAGGGAUACCCACUGAACUUAAGC
Molecule: unclassified non-coding RNA, 307 nt
Filed under: plant metagenome
Description: partial contains 5.8S ribosomal RNA, internal transcribed spacer 2, and large subunit ribosomal RNA
Rfam family: 5.8S ribosomal RNA (bases 1-106)
Source: RNAcentral